This 253-nucleotide ribosomal RNA is filed under the name uncultured bacterium. RNAcentral's name for it is "partial 16S ribosomal RNA". It matches the Rfam family "Bacterial small subunit ribosomal RNA", at positions 524 to 776 of the family's 1533-position model. The record is from RNAcentral.
UACAGAGGUCUCGAGCGUUAGGCGGAAUCACCGGGCUUAAAGCGUGUGUAGGCGGAUUGGUAAGUACUUUGUGAAAUCCCACGGCUUAACCGUGGAACUGCUUGGUAUACUGCCAGUCUUGAGCCAGCUAGGGGCUACCGGAACAAAUGGUGGAGCGGUGAAAUGCGUAGAUAUCAUUUGGAACGCCAAUGGUGAAAACAGGUAGCUGGGGCUGUGCUGACGCUGAGACACGAAAGCCAGGGGAGCAAACGGG